UGGAACAGAGUGUAUGUAUUUUCGAUGAUAAUAGUUCCCAAUGGUAAACUGGCAAACUAGUACUACCAGGGUUUAGCAGCUACAAGCAUAUAAAUUACAUGGUACACGAGAACGUGUAAUCGAGUUUCCACUUGUCGUUCACUGCAAACAGACCGCCAGCCAGGUUGAUGGGAGCACACCAGCUAUUCUAACCCCGCCCUUGAUUCUCCAAAUCAUUUCACAAGAACGAGAAUCAUCUCCUCUUGACGGCUCCGUAGUUCCUCGUGGCCUGCAAAACAACACAACUCUUGUUAACACCGUGUAACGCACGACACUAACGAUAUUUUCCCGUGACGAUUGCGAGGCGACAUCCUUCGCUUNGAUUUUAUCAAGCUCAUUUUUUCUUCAUUGUGCGCAGGUGAUUUUUGUGGAGCUUUCCAGGGAUGAGGCCCAGAGAAACCUAGACGAGAUGAAACGUUUGCUGCCAAGAUCCUCAACUCCCAGCCAUGGCAAUUUCAGUAACCAGAUGGUACGGUGUCAUUCAUUCUUUCUGAAAUUGUUCUGCCCAUGCGUCUUUCCAUAACGAUCCUAAGGCGAUAUAACAGCAAUGUUCUGACUUCUCUGGGAUUAUUUUACAGGUUAGCUCAGCAUAUACCAGGACUGUUUAUGUGGCAGGACCAUCUCUGUCGUCAGGCGUUGAACCACCAAUGAACUACUCAUAUGGACAAGGUGUGCAUGCUCCCGGUGCGCCGGCUGGCUACUCAAAUGCUCCAUAUCGAAUCCAGUCAAGCUACUCAAACGCCCCAUAUCAACAGCAGACAUAUACAAGCUACCCAAAUCCGAGCUAUCCAAACACCGCAGACCGGCAUCAAGUUCGCGCGAGCUACCCAAGCACCGCAGACCAGCAUCAAGUUCACACAAGCACCGCGAACCAACGUCAAGCCUACGGAAGCUACCCAAGCACCCCACUUCCCGGAUAUGGAUCACAGAAUGCAUAUGUCUCCCAAGGGUACCCAAGUCCAUACAGCAGCCCAGAUUACGCGACGAGCCUCUACCAGCAGUCUCCUGAGCCAGCGGGAGGCUACGGGGGAUCCGGCUACGGCAGACCUGCAGCCCAAGUUCAUGCCCAGCCAUUGCCUCAGGCUGUUCAUCAGCAGAUGCCAUAUCGUCAUGAUGGUGGUUCCUCAUACCAACCCUAUGGACAGCAGCCUCUUGGUAAGGGCUUAGCUUAUGUCCCAAGCUCUUGUUUGAGUUCACUCUUGAUUACCAAGCACCCAAAUUGAUUCGGAAAUCUGACAAGUUUCUCUUUCGACUGAUUACAGAUGCGCCCUACGUGAACACGAGCUCGCAGUACGGUGCUGCAGUUCCUGCUCCCAUGCCGCCUCCUCACGGAGCUCUUCUGCGUCCAGUUCCUGGGCCGCCGCCUUCGGCACCUCCCCCUCCUGCGUACUACAUGAAUGCACAGCCAGGCCGUUGGUAGCGAGUGCUGGAGCUCCGGGUAUCACAGGAUACCAGAGCAGAGUAGAUAAACGUGACCUACAUGCCUGUAAUUUGCUUUCAAGGUUCCCAGGAUGAGGAAACUGUUCCUAGAAUUGUGACAUUAUGUAUAGUUUUGCACGUAUGAGAAGAUGGCCUUUCCUGGAAAGGAUUAUCAGCAUUGUUUUCCUAAUUGAUCGAGAAAAAUGAUCCUCUGAUCAGUUUCAGUUCAAUGCUUUGCUUAACAGACUUCAUGCCACAGGCGUCACACGUAGGGAUGUAAAUGGCAAAUAAGUAGCGUCCGCAAGUCCCAUUUAAUUAGAUAAACCAUUUAAUUAGCUUUAUCUAGCUCCAUAGUUCAUUUUCCUUAAAAAAAAAAAAUUGAACUGUGAGACUGAUAGUGGAUUUAAACGGGAUUAAACGGGACCCAGUUCCCAUCCCUAGUUAGUCACACGACAGACAGCCUGGAACAGAGUGUAUGUAUUUUCGAUGAUAAUAGUUCCCAAUGGUAAACUGGCAAACUAGUACUACCAGGGUUUAGCAGCUACAAGCAUAUAAAUUACAUGGUACACGAGAACGUGUAAUCGAGUUUCCACUUGUCGUUCACUGCAAACAGACCGCCAGCCAGGUUGAUGGGAGCACACCAGCUAUUCUAACCCCGCCCUUGAUUCUCCAAAUCAUUUCACAAGAACGAGAAUCAUCUCCUCUUGACGGCUCCGUAGUUCCUCGUGGCCUGCAAAAC
RNAcentral lists this long non-coding RNA (2197 nucleotides) under Hordeum vulgare. RNAcentral describes it as "long non-coding RNA (HVUL_LNC005870)". Lineage: Eukaryota; Viridiplantae; Streptophyta; Magnoliopsida; Poales; Poaceae. The record is from RNAcentral.